Colletes gigas is the source of this 2827-nucleotide long non-coding RNA. RefSeq lists it as uncharacterized. The record is from RefSeq and is a predicted model, not a curated record. The transcript has 3 exons. NCBI's taxonomy places the organism in Eukaryota, Metazoa, Arthropoda, Insecta, Hymenoptera, Colletidae.
CAUAGCAAAUGAUAUGAGCUAAUGGCUGCAUCCCCCUAGUAUAGUUUAGCAUAAAUACAGUAUUUAUAAUUAGUAAUUAGUAAUAGUUGUGAAUUUAAAAUAAUUUCUUUAAUAAAAAUCGCUAGUUUCAAGUCGGUACUUCAGUUCAUGUACAUCAACCAUGUUUGCACAGAAUAGUUCAUGCAGUACCCGCUGUGUGGCACCAGGGAUUAAAAUAUUAAGUUCUACCCAAAGAUUUCAAACUUAAUAUUUAGAAUAUUCAGGAUUUAAAUAUUAAGUUAACUCAGACUUGUUUAAAAGUUUCUCCAAAAUUAAAUAAACAAUUUAAAAUUUAUUAUGUCUCCUGUUUUUUGUAAUUAUUAAGUCAUUAAAAUGACAGGAAUAUUAAGGUCAAGGAUUUGUUUUUUUCUGGUGAAUCCCCGGAGGCGCCAAGAUUUGGAAAUAAAAUGGCUGACAUAGGAUUUUAGGGGACGCGUUAAUAAAUUGAUUCGUCGGUUUAAAUCGACCAAGUUUGAAGCCGGUUUCGCGUAUAUAUUCCUACUUUUUGCUAUGGUUUCACUAUUGACAUUCUUUAUUUACUGACCCGACGCAAUAUCCUCGUUCGAACGAAAAAGGAACAGAACGUUCACGGACUGUUGGAGGUCCAAGUCAGAAACCAGUCAAUGUCAUCGGGAUUCGCACACAGACGGUCCCUUGUUCGUGAAACGGGAGAGGAUUCCACGAAGCGUCGUUUGUCGGGUGACUCAACUGUUGUGACUGGUGUUUCAAAGUGCCGAAAGAAAGGGAAAGUACAUCUGGGACAUCGAAGCAUGGGAGACCAAGCGCUCAGUUCACGGAACGCUCGCGAGAAACGCGUUAUCGACGCCGGUUUAUCGCACGUUUAAACAAAUAAGAUAAAAAAAGGAUUCGUACUAUCAGAGUGUGCGGGGGUCUCCUAACAACGUGACACAGGAUAUUGCCAGGUCGAAAGUUUUCUGAGAUAUGUGCAAAGUUUCUAGGACCGCCAGUGACCUGGACAAAGACCUCCACUAGGAAGAUACACUCGAGGCUCGAGAUCUCGUCGAAAACGCGUUAAAUCGUCAGUGUUGCUAUAGACAAUGGUGAAUUGCACAAUAGCCAGAGACAAACCGGAGGCUCCGUCGUUGUGCAACUAGCGUCUUUUGCAACGAGGGAACAUGAUCGGAAUUAUGGAUUCUUUUUAUCAAACUACGAGCCUCCUGCGUGCCUGAUUCACGAUGCUGGAUCCUAUUCUAGGAAUAUCCUCGGUAUGGUGGCUGGUGAUCUACGCCAACAUCCUGCUGCUCUUGUCGCCCCUCGUGCUGCUUCUCAUCAUUUUCCUGCCGAAUUUCCCGAUAUUACUGUUCAGAAGAAUGUGUUACAUCCCUAUCGAGUCUAUAUGACACUCAUUUCCCACCAUAAUUGAAUUGUAAAACGCUAGGCUCCUCGUAGAUCGAGUAAUUUCAAUUAUAUUCUUGAUUGUAUACGACGACGUUGAAAUGUACGGUUUCAAAGCAUCGAUUUACACUUUGCAAGGUUAUAGAUAAGACAAGUAUAGGCAUAGGUAUUAUUAUUUCAGUAAUUGCACGUCGCAGGCUUGUAUUGUUAUUGUUGUGGGAAUCACAGUUCUGAAGCAUUUAGUGUAACUUCAGGAAGUAUUAUUACAAGUAAUUUCAGUAUUUGCGCUGUUGAACCGCCCUGUGGUAUCUUAUAUCUUCUAUGAUACAUUCAUUUUAUGUUUAAAACUCUUCUCGAAAUAUUGCUAUGUAUAUUGGCAAAGCAGCAGCAAAUGUUGAUGUUCCUCUCAUAACAACAACGAAAUUGUAAAUAUUUGGCAAUAGUAAUCCGUAUAAAAUUGUGAUCAAAUGGUUAGAUCUAGCGUUUAGAGUACCCGUAUUUCGUUUAAAGGAAGCACAAUCAAAAAUACUUGUUAAGUCCAUGCAUAUAGGGUAUCCCACUCAAAGCAAACCAUCUGUUGGUUUCUUUAAUUUUUUCUCGAAAACGAGCACGGCGACCUAUGUGUUUAACGACGGCAUUGUGUUCCCCUGCUUUUUUCCUACAGGAUAGCGUGUCGAAAUUUAGCCCCACGAUGAUUUUUCCCGCUGGAGCGAUCGCUCGCGACCGCUUUUCGUUAAUAACUCGAAAACUAGCACGUUAACGCUCAUUUUCGCUUAUAUAAUACUUGUGCAGUUUAACGUUCUCUACCUGAUAGGCUAGUUGUAUUUUUUUUAUCUCGAAUUGUUUUAAAUUUUUUCGUUUAUAACUCAAAAACGAACACGUCAAUUCGAAUUUUUGUACUGUUAAGAGGCUUCUCGAGCGUUAAAAAGAACUUGAGAAUAUUAAAUUGCUCAAUAAUAUUUCAUCUAAGUCACUCAAUGGAUCGUGAUAUUUCAAUAUUAAAAUACAUUUGUUCAUAAGAUUCUGAUUAAAGAAGACUCUAAGAUGGCUCCUUUCGAGCGGGAUACCCUGAAGUACCAAUCUUUGUUUUAAUAUUAAUUAGUAUUAAUUAGUAAUAUCAAUUGCAACAGAAUACAAUGUAUUCUUUGUGCCUGGGACGCGAUGUGGAAUUGUCACAUAAUUUAGCAAAAAUCGGUCGCUCUAGGUAUUUCACGGCGUAGAAAUCGCGGUUUCCGGUCGCGAUUCGACCCUUUGACCGGUCGUUCGCGAUUUCUUCGCCGUCGUUGCCAAGACUCCGCCACUCCUGUCGCACGUCUGUCGCGAAAAGCCGAAUAAACCGAAUAUAACGGGAACGAUGUUUCGCAAAAGAUGCCCCGCGAGCCGUUUGACCGAAAUCCCGACGAACGUAGUCCUCAGAAAUCGUUGGCGUCGA